UAUUGGGCAAUGGGGGAAACCCUGACCCAGCAACGCCGCGUGAAGGAAGAAGGCCUUCGGGUUGUAAACUUCUUUUACCAGGGACGAAGGACGUGACGGUACCUGGAGAAAAAGCCACGGCUAACUACGUGCCAGCAGCCGCGGUAAUACGUAGGUGGCAAGCGUUGUCCGGAAUUACUGGGUGUAAAGGGAGCGUAGGCGGGGAGACAAGUUGAAUGUUUAAACUAUCGGCUCAACUGAUAGUCGCGUUCAAAACUAUCACUCUUGAGUGCAGUAGAGGUAGGCGGAAUUCCUAGUGUAGCGGUGAAAUGCGUAGAUAUUAGGAGGAACACCAGUGGCGAAGGCGGCCUACUGGGCUGUAACUGACGCUGAGGCUCGAAAGCGUGGGUAGCAA
Molecule: ribosomal RNA, 394 nt
Filed under: uncultured bacterium
Lineage: Bacteria
Description: bacterial SSU rRNA
Rfam family: Bacterial small subunit ribosomal RNA
Source: RNAcentral